GCGGAACUGGCGGAAUUGGCAGACGCGCAUGAUUCAGGUUCAUGUGCCGCAAGGCUUUCGGGUUCAAGUCCCGAGUUCCGCAC
Molecule: transfer RNA, 83 nt
Filed under: Calothrix sp. NIES-4105
Lineage: Bacteria; Bacillati; Cyanobacteriota; Cyanophyceae; Nostocales; Calotrichaceae
Also listed under: 1 other name
Description: tRNA-Ser
Rfam family: tRNA
About the family: Transfer RNA (tRNA) molecules are approximately 80 nucleotides in length. Their secondary structure includes four short double-helical elements and three loops (D, anti-codon, and T loops).
Source: RNAcentral